Molecule: long non-coding RNA, 268 nt
Filed under: Mytilus galloprovincialis (Mediterranean mussel)
Lineage: Eukaryota; Metazoa; Mollusca; Bivalvia; Mytilida; Mytilidae
Source: RNAcentral
CUAAUAAUUAGUUUCUAAUUAACUAUAUUUGAAAAAAAUAAAUUAUUGAUAAAAUAUGAUAUCAUAUUGUAUUUUUUCAUAUCUAAUUUGUAUUUUCUUUUCCGCCAAUACUUAGGACAUCGGUUAGGAGGUCCUAGCUAAGAUAUUCAUAAGAUAGCUUCGAUGUGCAUGCUGAGACGUGUCGUAAGUCGGUCCUUACUUUAUCCUAAAUUCUGUCCUAAGAAAUUCUUAGGACGUAACUUAGGACAGUUUCGAUAAACAGGCCCCA